CGGCGAUGUCCGAAUGGGGAAACCCAGUGCAAUUCGUUGCACUAUCGUUAACUGAAUACAUAGGUUAACGAGGCGAACCGGGGGAACUGAAACAUCUAAGUACCCCGAGGAAAAGAAAUCAACCGAGAUUCCCCCAGUAGCGGCGAGCGAACGGGGAGCAGCCCAGAGUCUGAAUCAGCUUGUGUGUUAGUGGAACGGUCUGGAAAGUCCGACGGUACAGGGUGAUAGUCCCGUACACCAAAAUGCACAGGCUGUGAACUCGAAGAGUAGGGCGGGACACGUGGUAUCCUGUCUGAAUAUGGGGGGACCAUCCUCCAAGGCUAAAUACUCCUGACUGACCGAUAGUGAACCAGUACCGUGAGGGAAAGGCGAAAAGAACCCCGGCGAGGGGAGUGAAAAAGAACCUGAAACCGUGUACGUACAAGCAGUGGGAGCACCUUCGGGUGUGACUGCGUACCUUUUGUAUAAUGGGUCAGCGACUUAUAUUCUGUAGCAAGGUUAACCGUAUAGGGGAGCCGCAGGGAAACCGAGUCUUAACUGGGCGUUAAGUUGCAGGGUAUAGACCCGAAACCCGGUGAUCUAGCCAUGGGCAGGUUGAAGGUUGGGUAACACUAACUGGAGGACCGAACCGACUAAUGUUGAAAAAUUAGCGGAUGACUUGUGGCUGGGGGUGAAAGGCCAAUCAAACCGGGAGAUAGCUGGUUCUCCCCGAAAGCUAUUUAGGUAGCGCCUCGUGAACUCAUCUUCGGGGGUAGAGCACUGUUUCGGCUAGGGGGUCAUCCCGACUUACCAACCCGAUGCAAACUACGAAUACCGAAGAAUGUUAUCACGGGAGACACACGGCGGGUGCUAACGUCCGUCGUGAAGAGGGAAACAACCCAGACCGCCAGCUAAGGUCCCAAAGUCAUGGUUAAGUGGGAAACGAUGUGGGAAGGCACAGACAGCCAGGAUGUUGGCUUAGAAGCAGCCAUCAUUUAAAGAAAGCGUAAUAGCUCACUGGUCGAGUCGGCCUGCGCGGAAGAUGUAACGGGGCUAAACCAUGCACCGAAGCUGCGGCAGCGACACUAUGUGUUGUUGGGUAGGGGAGCGUUCUGUAAGCCUGCGAAGGUGACCUGUGAGGGUUGCUGGAGGUAUCAGAAGUGCGAAUGCUGACAUAAGUAACGAUAAAGCGGGUGAAAAGCCCGCUCGCCGGAAGACCAAGGGUUCCUGUCCAACGUUAAUCGGGGCAGGGUGAGUCGACCCCUAAGGCGAGGCCGAAAGGCGUAGUCGAUGGGAAACAGGUUAAUAUUCCUGUACUUGGUGUUACUGCGAAGGGGGGACGGAGAAGGCUAUGUUAGCCGGGCGACGGUUGUCCCGGUUUAAGCAUGUAGGCUGGUUAUCCAGGCAAAUCCGGAUAAUCAAGGCUGAGGUGUGAUGACGAGGCACUACGGUGCUGAAGUAACAAAUGCCCUGCUUCCAGGAAAAGCCUCUAAGCAUCAGGUAACAUCAAAUCGUACCCCAAACCGACACAGGUGGUCAGGUAGAGAAUACCAAGGCGCUUGAGAGAACUCGGGUGAAGGAACUAGGCAAAAUGGUGCCGUAACUUCGGGAGAAGGCACGCUGGUGUGUAGGUGAAGUCCCUGCGGAUGGAGCUGAGACCAGUCGAAGAUACCAGCUGGCUGCAACUGUUUAUUAAAAACACAGCACUGUGCAAACACGAAAGUGGACGUAUACGGUGUGACGCCUGCCCGGUGCCGGAAGGUUAAUUGAUGGGGUUAUCCGUAAGGAGAAGCUCUUGAUCGAAGCCCCGGUAAACGGCGGCCGUAACUAUAACGGUCCUAAGGUAGCGAAAUUCCUUGUCGGGUAAGUUCCGACCUGCACGAAUGGCGUAAUGAUGGCCAGGCUGUCUCCACCCGAGACUCAGUGAAAUUGAACUCGCUGUGAAGAUGCAGUGUACCCGCGGCAAGACGGAAAGACCCCGUGAACCUUUACUAUAGCUUGACACUGAACAUUGAGCCUUGAUGUGUAGGAUAGGUGGGAGGCUUUGAAGCGUGGACGCCAGUCUGCGUGGAGCCAACCUUGAAAUACCACCCUUUAAUGUUUGAUGUUCUAACGUUGGCCCCUGACCGGGGUUGCGGACAGUGUCUGGUGGGUAGUUUGACUGGGGCGGUCUCCUCCCAAAGCGUAACGGAGGAGCACGAAGGUUAGCUAAUCCUGGUCGGACAUCAGGAGGUUAGUGCAAUGGCAUAAGCUAGCUUGACUGCGAGCGUGACGGCGCGAGCAGGUGCGAAAGCAGGUCAUAGUGAUCCGGUGGUUCUGAAUGGAAGGGCCAUCGCUCAACGGAUAAAAGGUACUCCGGGGAUAACAGGCUGAUACCGCCCAAGAGUUCAUAUCGACGGCGGUGUUUGGCACCUCGAUGUCGGCUCAUCACAUCCUGGGGCUGAAGUAGGUCCCAAGGGUAUGGCUGUUCGCCAUUUAAAGUGGUACGCGAGCUGGGUUUAGAACGUCGUGAGACAGUUCGGUCCCUAUCUGCCGUGGGCGCUGGAGAAUUGAGGGGGGCUGCUCCUAGUACGAGAGGACCGGAGUGGACGCAUCACUGGUGUUCGGGUUGUCAUGCCAAUGGCACUGCCCGGUAGCUAAAUGCGGAAGAGAUAAGUGCUGAAAGCAUCUAAGCACGAAACUUGCCCCGAGAUGAGUUCU
This 2679-nucleotide ribosomal RNA is filed under the name Klebsiella pneumoniae. RNAcentral's name for it is "bacterial LSU rRNA". It matches the Rfam family "Bacterial large subunit ribosomal RNA". The record is from RNAcentral. Lineage: Bacteria; Pseudomonadati; Pseudomonadota; Gammaproteobacteria; Enterobacterales; Enterobacteriaceae.